UUCAUAGUCCCUCCGUCCAGAAAUACUUGUCCGAGGAAUGGACGUAUCUAGAUGUAUUUUAAUUCUAAAUACAUUCAUUAUAUCCAUUUUUAUGACAAGUAUUUUCGGACGAAGAGAGUAUAUA
This is a non-coding RNA of Triticum aestivum (bread wheat), 124 nucleotides long. The record is from Rfam. Lineage: Eukaryota; Viridiplantae; Streptophyta; Magnoliopsida; Poales; Poaceae.